Manis pentadactyla (Chinese pangolin) is the source of this 2048-nucleotide long non-coding RNA. RefSeq lists it as uncharacterized. The record is from RefSeq and is a predicted model, not a curated record. NCBI's taxonomy places the organism in Eukaryota, Metazoa, Chordata, Mammalia, Pholidota, Manidae. The transcript has 4 exons.
UAUAUACUAAAACUGAACAAGUGAGUAAAUAUACUGUAAAUAAUGACAGCCAGGUUUCUCACUGUUGGUGAAAGAAAUUACAAAUAAGGAAAUAUUGGAGGCUAGAAUGAAUCUUGUGGUGUUAGGCUGGAAUUGGGGUGUUAAUGUGUGCACAUGGUUUUUAAUAGAAAGAUACAUAAAUACAUACGUACAUAGGUACAUAGAUACACAGAUACCAAUGACUGUAUAUUUCCUAGCCCUGUCUUCUGAGCAGGAAGUAAUGACAUCUCAGUAGCAAUGAGGACACCUAGCUCCCAGAUCUUGGUGAAAAGGACCCAGGAAAUAAAAAGGAACCAGGACUCCCUGGAGAAAUGGCCAACUGAACAAGAACUGAUUGAAAUGGCCAAUUAAAAGGAUAAGGUGAAUCUAGAACAUCUUGUGGUACUGGGAAAUAAUGAAGUGUUCAAAAAAAUGAUUGAUACUUGUCAAAAGAACACAAGAACCAAUUUGAAGGGGCUCCCAAUGACCAAAUCCAGUACAAUACAUAAUAAUAGUUACGGAUUAUAGCCUAUAAAAUAAAAGAAAUAUCCAUGAGUCCAUACUGACAUUAAAAUUGAAUAAGUGGGAAAGACACACCCCUUCUUUAAUGAUAGAAUUCCAAUGACUAAAUAUUGAAAGAGUGAUGGAAUUAGAAAAUUACCAUUUGGUAAACAUCACAGUAAUAAUUUUUACUGACAAGAAUUAUCAAUGGAUGCUAAAUGUGGUGGGCAAAGGUGUGGUGAAUGGGAUAUUGGCUUAGACUUACGUACAGAAGUUUCCCACCAAGAUACUUACUAGUUACAAAGGGAAAAGGAGUGACUUUACAGUGGAGACACCAGGCGACUCUACCUUAACCAAGUGAAAAAAGUUAACAGUAGAAUCAGAGUGAGGCGUAGCGACAUCAUUUACCUCUUGAUUUCAUGCACUGAGAAAUUAUGACAUUUUUUCUGUGGCACUCUUGUCAAAAAUGCCUUCUUUCCUAAUUCUGAGAAAACAUCAGGCUAACCCAAACUGAGAGAUAGUCUGUAAAAUCUCCACAAUGUGAAAGUCAAGGAAACACAGAGACUGAGGGACUGUCACAGGUGAUCACACAGCAAUGAAAUAUGAUGAGGGAUUCUGGAUUGGAUCCCGGACCAGAGAAAAGACCCCUCCCCUCCUGAGCCAGUCCUUUGGUGUUGCUGCUGAUGGGGGCGUACCCGCUGUCUCAGGUCAGCCUUACAGAUGUGACCAAACCAGACAUGAUCUAUCGACUUUCAGUUUGCAUCAUCUGUUCUACAUUAUACAGACAAUAUGAUACCUAGUGAUGACCUGGAAUAGGAAGCAAAAAUAGUCCUUAAUACCAAAGGUACUCAUGAAUACAAGGAGCAAAACAAAGAUAUUGCACUGCGGAUGGUGUCAACAACAUUCUGCAACUCAGGGAAAAACAAUAGGAGAAGAAAAAUAAGAGGAAUUUGUGAAGGAAGAGAAUGUUUUCCAAUACCAACAAUCAAUUCUCUGGACACCAACUGGCUGUUCAAUAAUUGAGUUCAGUUCCGGCACUAACCACCUGGAGUUAACACAGACAUCACAGCUUAAGGGCUCAGCCCUGCAAGGCUGGCCCCCACUUCAAAUACCAGUCACAAGUCCCAGGGUUCCUGUACUUUUGACCAACCAGCCACAAGCUGGAAGUUCCCACAACUCCCUCGUAAGGUUCAAUAAUUUGCUAGAAAGGUUCACGAAACUCAGAAAGGCACUGUACUUAUGUUUACCAGUUUAUUAUAAAGGAUACAACUCAGUAAUAGUCAAAUGGGAGAGAUGCAAGGGACAGUGUGUGUGGGAGGGGUGCACAAAGCUUCCACACCCUCUCCAGGUGCACCACCGUCCCAGUACCUACAUGUGUUCACCAGCCUGAAAGGUCAUCAAAUUUCUGGUGAAAUGUCCAAAUAUUUUUUCCAAUUUGGGAGUGUGUGUUUGUUAUUACUGAGUUUUGAGUGUUCUUUAUAUAUUCUACAUAAAAUUCCUUUUUCAGAUGCGUGAUUUGCAAAUAUUUU